AUGGAUGAGUCGAUUGGGAGUAUCAGAGGGGGACAUGCAACUAAAACAAGUGAGAUAGCGGUAGAGUGCAUGAACUUGGACCCAGAGAAGAGACCAGAUGCAUGCCAUAUAAUUGAUAGGCUUGAUAAAAUUGAGGGUACUGACAAAGAAGACGAAACUGGCACCAACAGUUCAAUCAUUGAGUUGCAGUUAAGUUUACCAAGGGAACAAUAUGCAGAAAGAGUUGGAAAGCCUGCAGCCGAGAGCCUCCAAGUGGAUGUCGGGGAACACUCUGAAAUAUUGGAAAAUGGCACAGACAGUUUGGAAUUGCGACAUUCCCAGGAAGGCCUGCAGAAAUUAGACGAAUUGUCAAUAUGUGGAGUGCAAGAGACGAAGCAAAAGGUUAAGCAUCGUGGCACAAGCAUUUCCAGCUCUAUCUCUAGUGUAUUCUACAAGUUAAACAGUUUAAACAUCUUCAACAAGAAAGCAAGCAGGAACCUCCAUCACACAUUAGAAAAGUCGCAUAAUGUGAAGAUCUUCAGAAAGGAGGAGCUCAGACCAAUAAUGAGGAGUACCAAUUUAAUUGGAAGAGGUGGCUUCGGUAAAGUUUACAAGGGUGUUGUUGAUAACACACUGGUUGUGGUAAAGCCGAUUAGUUGUUCUUCCCUAGGUAAUGUAGCAUAUGAAAAUUAUGUCAUUGGCAUGUGUCAAGUCAGCCACAAGAACAUCGCUAGGCCCAUAGGCUGUUGCUUAGAAGCAGAUACCACCAUUCUAGUGUACGAGCUCAUCUCCAAUGGAAGUGUAGAUGGUAUUCUUCACGACGGCAACAGAACAGCCCUCAACUUGGAUGUGCGUCUAAAUAUCAUUGCGGAAUCAGCACAAGGUUUAGCUUAUCUACAUUCACAAGCUCAUACAAAAAUCCUGCAUGGUGAUUUAAAACCGGAAAAUAUCCUCUUGGAUGAUAACUUUAUACCAAAGAUCUCAGACUUUGGUAUAUCGCCGUUGAUUGCACGAUAUAAUGAACACACUACCAAUAUCAUCGGUGACAUGACUUAUAUGGAUCCAGUGUACCUGCAAACAGGCCGGCUGACUGAGAAAAGUGAUGUCUACAGUUUUGGAGUUGUGAUCUUGGAGGUCAUCAGCAGGAAGAAGGCCACUCAUUCUGAACAUAACAGCCUAGUGAAGAGUUUCCUUGAGGUUCACAAAGAAGGGAAGAAAGCAACCGAGCUGUUUGAUAAGGAAAUUGCGGUGACAGCAGGAGAUUUUGAAAUUCUUGACCGUCUGGCAGAGAUUGCUGUGGAAUGUAUUAACCUUGACGUCGAUCAAAGGCCCACGAUGACAGAUGUCGAGGACCGCCUUCUCAUGCUGAACCGAUCUUCUUAA
RNAcentral lists this ribosomal RNA (1362 nucleotides) under Triticum aestivum (bread wheat). RNAcentral describes it as "partial small subunit ribosomal RNA". Lineage: Eukaryota; Viridiplantae; Streptophyta; Magnoliopsida; Poales; Poaceae. The record is from RNAcentral.